Molecule: long non-coding RNA, 664 nt
Filed under: Sus scrofa (pig)
Lineage: Eukaryota; Metazoa; Chordata; Mammalia; Artiodactyla; Suidae
Description: lncRNA (ENSSSCG00015036775.1)
Source: RNAcentral
AUCCCAGGGCUUCCACUCCUCAUGAGCUUUCCGAGGCUGAUGCGAUCUGGCCGCGCCUUCUCCUCCAGCCCAUCUCCACCCACCCUCUGCCUCUGGUCCUGCUUGCAGUGGUAGGAAGGGCCGGUAAGGGCACAGGGCGGACCCCUGCCUCCCUGCGGGCCUGUGCACACGCGGCCCCAGCUCCUCGGAGUGGCAUGUCCACUUUGUAUCCGCCUGACCCAGUCUGCCACGUCCUUUCCUGCGCAGCCCUCGCACCCUGACCGUGGGCACGGGGCGGUCCUGCUGACGUCUGCCGGGGGCCCAGCACUGCCUGCCACACGGCCUGGGCAAAUUCAGAAUCCAACCUUCUCCAGGAUCUCUGCAGCUUCGUGACCGUGUAGUUCCCUCUUCACAGCUCCCAGAAUCCAGAUGUUCCUAUAGCCAACUUGAAUUCCGGUGAGUUUCUAUGAAAUAUGUGAAGUUCAGUUUGCACAGAAGAUGCCUCUUUUUCCAGCUUGGAAGUUACCCGUGUGUCUCAGGUGGGUCCGUGUCCUAGUUAACAGCAGUACUUGACGCGAGCGUUGAAAGAUUAGAGACCCUGAUCACACUGAAAUAUUUCAUUGUGAAAAAUUUCCAACACAGGCAAGCAGGGGAAUAAAGGGUCCAGUGAUCGCUGGUAGGUCCA